CAUUCCCUUUUCUUUUCUUUCCCGUAAUUCCCUCAAACACUCAAACUCACUCUCUCUCUCUCCCCGUCGAGUUCUCUCACACUCCCUUUCUCUUUCUACACUCACGGACUAACACAAAGACCUUCAAAAACUUCACAGAUCGAGGAAAAUAAAACCACCAUCGUCUUCAUCUCGACGAUAUGAGUCCAACCAUACCUAUUUCAGGAGUUUUCAAGCUUGUAGGAAUAGUGAGGUCCUUAGGAGGCUCGGGGUAGUUCGUUGGAAAAUUUUGGACGUAAGAACACGGAGAUCGACAAGUUCAAGUUUGACCCGUGCCUUUCGAGGCGUUUUCCGGCUAAACCACGGAGAGUUAGACGUCGUGCGAGUUUCCGGCGAGUCCGACAGCUUUCGAGGCUUUUUUCGGUGAAUCCACGCCGCGUUAGGGGUCAAGGCAGAUAUGGAUGUGUUCGUCUCGUCAAUACCUUCAUUUUGAUAUAAAUUACGUCGAAAAUGGUUAAGAAAUGAAGAAGUUAUGACACUUUGAAGUUUACCCAGAAAUUCCGGCAAAACACCCACCUUCGGCGAAACCAGUCCGGCGACGCGAGGAAGAAGACGCGCGCGUGGGCAGCGCGUAUAGGUGGCGCGUGAGGGCGCGUGAGAGGUCCAAAUUCCGUUCUAAAAAUUGUCACGUGUUCAUGACGUCGUGUAGAUCACCGUGGUAUAUUCACAUACCCAAAUUGAGCAACAUAUGAGAAAGUUAUUGACGAAUGUUUGUGUAUGUGCGUUUAAAUGAUGUUUUAUAAUUAUUUUUGUAUAAGUGAAAAUUAUAUGGACGAAGAAAGUAACCAAAAUAGGCGAGGGGGUUACGAACCGGCUACUUAUCAGUGAGUGGGCAGUUAUUUUUUAAGUAUAUAUAUAUGUAUACUUGACGUA
Molecule: non-coding RNA, 912 nt
Organism: Malus domestica (apple)
Lineage: Eukaryota; Viridiplantae; Streptophyta; Magnoliopsida; Rosales; Rosaceae
Source: RefSeq, a predicted model, not a curated record